GCUGGUGUGGCUCAGUUGGUUAGAGCAUCAUCCUGUGUAGCAGAAGGUCCUAGGUUUGAUUCCUGGUCAUGGCA
RNAcentral lists this transfer RNA (74 nucleotides) under Myotis brandtii (Brandt's bat). It matches the Rfam family "tRNA". Rfam says of the family: Transfer RNA (tRNA) molecules are approximately 80 nucleotides in length. Their secondary structure includes four short double-helical elements and three loops (D, anti-codon, and T loops). Lineage: Eukaryota; Metazoa; Chordata; Mammalia; Chiroptera; Vespertilionidae. The record is from Rfam by way of RNAcentral.